Molecule: long non-coding RNA, 8391 nt
Filed under: Capsicum annuum
Lineage: Eukaryota; Viridiplantae; Streptophyta; Magnoliopsida; Solanales; Solanaceae
Description: long non-coding RNA (CANN_LNC021111)
Source: RNAcentral
UAUUCUCUUAUUUUUUCUGUCAUAUGUGAAAUUAGGGUAAUAGAUUAUCAGAUUAGGUAUUAAACGUUCAAUUUAUUAGAACAAGCGAGAGCAAAGGAAAAAGGAGAAACUGCUGCUGCUACAUAACACAAAAUCUCAGGUUCCUUUAUUUUAAUGUGUACAUGAGUGUGAUAUGUAUAAUUUUAGUGGAAAGAAAAAUUUGAUUAAUGGAAAAAGUAGGCCACUGCUGGCAAGAAACCAGGUGGCGCAGGCCACUGUAGUUGAUUUCACACUUUUUCAAUGAAAUGAAUGGCCACUAUUGGCUGAUUUCUUAAUUUCGCCUGAAUUUCAAAAGUGGCACAGACCACUAUUGGUUGCCUUCUUAAUUCUCCACGAAUUUCAAAGUUGCGCCUGCCAUUGUUUUGUUGUUAGUUUCAAAACCGAAGGUUAUCGUAUGAAGUUAAUUAUUAUUUUUGGAUAAAUUAAGGUUUAAGGAUAAAUUAAGGUUUAGUCCUAGGAUUUAUAGAAUAAGAAUUUAUAAAUGGGUGUUAUUAAAUUUGUAUUCUUAAGAGGAUUAUAUGUUUGAACAGAUUUUGAAUGUUUCGAAAAUUUGAAAAAUGACAAGGCACUUGUGGACUACUGAUAUUUGAGUUCUUCGGUUGAGGUAAAUUAUGGUUUAAUUAGAGUUUAGACUCAAUUUAAUUGUGUGUAGGCUCCUAAAUUGGAUACUUGUGGAUUGGUAUUCGUACAUGUUUGAAAUUAUUGAUGUUUGGAUUGUUGAUUCAUGUAUAAAUAUUUAUUGAAAAUUGACUUGAUGGAAUUGUUUCACGAUUUUAAGUGUACUUGUAAUCUUGGUACAUUGUGUUGUAUGCUUUGUGUUUGUGUAAAUUUAUAUUGAUAAUACUUGUUUAUGUUUAUGUUGGAUUGGGUACCACGCUGGUACGUUUACAUUUAUGUUGGAUCGGGUAACACGCUGGUACGUUUACAUUUAUGUUGAAUCGGGUACCACGCUGGUACAUUUAUAUUUAUGUUGGAUCGGGUACCAUACCAAUACAUUUAUAUUUAUGUUCGAUCGGGUACCACACCGGUACGUUUAUAUUUAUGUUGAAUCGGGUAUCACACCGGUAUGGAUAUGUAUAUGUUUGAUCGGGUACCACGUUGGUACGUUUAUAUUUAUGUUGGAUCGGGUACCACACCGGUAUGUUUAUAUUUAUGUUGGAUCGGAUAUCACGCCGGUAUGUUUAUAAUUAUGGUCGAUCGGGUACCAUGUCGGUACAUUUAUAUUUAUUUUGGAUCGGGUACCACGCCGGUACGGAUAUGUAUAUGUUGGAUCGGGUACCACGCCGGUAUGGUACAUGAACAUAGAUUGUUGCCUACAGGUCAUGACUAUUGGGCAAAAAUAAGUCUCAUAGCAUGUGUGUACAUAUUUGUGUUGAUUCUGUGUAUGUUUACAGUAUGGUUGAUACUCUUGAUGGUUAUGUGGCUUGUUUGUGAGCACUAUUUGACAUGUUGUUGUUGUAUUGUUGAUUCAUUGAAUAUUUGUUGUAUGACGAUGUUUGUCUACUUGUUAUUUGAUUUAUGUUGUGUACAUGCUAUUAAAUUGAGUUGACCUAUGAUACCUACCAGUAUAUAAUGGUUUGUACUGAUACUAUCCUGUACUCUUCUUUUGUUAAGUGUAGAAAGUGUUCUGGGCUCAGACAUGACCUCAUCUCUAGAGUUUGAUAGCAGAUAUUGAUCCAAGGGUGAGCACUCCAUCUCCAGGCUGCCAUGGGUCAUCUUAUUUGUUCUUGUCCAUCUUUCGGGCAAUGAAACAUUCUUUAUUUACUUUAUUUUUGGAUAUCACUUUAGAUAUGAUCUUUGUUAUUAGUUCUUGUACGGUGACUUUUGGGUCUUGGGGAUUUUAGUAAGUAUUUUAUUUGACUUCUGCAUUAAUAACGAUUAAUCCUGAAUUAUUAUUAUUAUGUUAAUUUUAUGAUAUCAUCAUCUUAAUAUUGACUAAGUGUUUGGGUAAUGGUUUGGUUUAGAUGGUUCUCCCACAGAAAGAUUAAUGUGGGCGCCACUCAUGGUCAUUUAGGUCGUGACAAAGUUAGUAUCAGAGCCCUAGGUUAGUCGAUCUCAUCGUACAAGGACAUAUCUAGUAGAGCCUUGCGGAAUGAUAUGGAGACAUCUGUACUUUUCUUCGAGAGGCUAUUGGACACUUGGAAAAUUCAAAUUUUUCUUUCUUUCAUGAUAUUAAUUGAUUUCAAUUGGUAUCUGGCGAUUCCAAUUGGCAUCUAUUAAUAAGAGAAGUGUCAAGUAGAGUUCCGUAGAUUAGUGUGUAGGGCCCCACACCCAAUCUCCGUAUGACUAUGAUGCAUGUAGAAUUCAUUUUCCUUUCUUUCUCUCCAUCGUGCCGUCCUAAUCUUGGACUACUAGAUUGAAUCCAAUUGGUAUGUAGACAAUUUCAAUUGGUAUCUUAAUAAUUUUGAAUAAAAAUCUAGGAGAUUUCAACUAGUAUCUGUUAAUAAAGUCUAAAAGUCAUUGUUAAUAGGUAAAGACUUGUGAAAGUUGUGAAGUUAUUGAUUGCUUGUGUUUGAUAAUUGGCUAAACUAUUGUUGCUAGCUUUUUGUCAUUAUUGUGAAUUAUUUUUAUUAAGUGAUGAAAAUUAACUAAGUUAUUUUUGUUGAUAAAUGUGAUGGAAUUGUUUGAUUUCUUAUUAUUGUGAAACUAGAAAUUCUAUGGUGCUUACUUAUUUUUGGUACUAUUAUACUGAUGAGAUUGAUGGUAUGUGAAUUGAGAGGAUGAUAUGAGAAUGUGAGGUCGAGAAAAGAUAGUGAAAAAGUGACAUGAAUAAAAGAUUAAGGUGAUAUGUAUUUUCAGUAAUGAGAGGUUCUUGUUAAUGAUGUUGUGGAUGGACCCUUGUGUAGUUCGAUUAUUUGAUAUUAUUUGGGGAUCCUUGUGUGGUCCGAUCAUUGAGACUGUAUUUAGAAUUUUUGUGCAGCUCUAUUAUUGAAACUAUAAUGGGUUUCUUGUCAGGACUAUCUAAGUGACGUUAUCUUUAAGUUCCUUAUGUGAAUGAAAUUCUUAAUGCUUGAAAAAAUAAUGUGUUUUAAAUAAAAGUAGCAAAAACUAGUAGAGGUUGUUUAUACCUACAGAAUUUGAUCGAUGACUUGUCUGAAAUGUGAUAUUGGUGAUAAGACUGUCAAUGACCUAUAAUUGAUUUAUUUUGUUUGGCCUUUCUUAUGUGCUGGUGGUGUGGGGACCACUCUUGAGGUGAUUAAGAGUUAAGUAAAGCCCGUAAUGAAAAUAUUGUUAGGUAGAAAUAAGAAUGACUCUGUAUAUCUUAAAUUGGUGUUAGUGAUACAGGAGAGUUUUGGCUUGACCAUGAAGUAUUUGUCAUUGAAAAAUAUUAAGUUAGUGAUUGUCAGGACAUAAGUUGUAGUGUGGAUUUAUGCAUUAGGAAAAAUUUUGAGAAGAAAAAUUAUUAGUGACUUGACCUUGUGGCUGAAUUAUACAUUUGCAUGUCCCACAAAGUUGGCUGAUAUAUGACACUUUUGAGGAUAGUAAUUUCCAUGAUAGUGGCAAUGCAAAAUCAAAUGGCUUAGUUACAUUCAUAAAAUAAUUAAGGAUGAUCCUGAAUGGGGGGGAUAAAUAAAUUAUUAAACGGCAUGAUUGAUCUUUCCUUGAGUGAUACUUGGUGGAUAUUCUUGUUGAGUGGUUAAGGUAUGAUGAUUAGAUGGAUAUUAACAAUGUUGUGGAGGAUAAUGUGUUGUAGGCUCUAAUUCUUUGGGACCCGUCAGAUGACAUGUUUAUACCCUUUUUGAAUUCUAUUGCUUUUCCUCCCUAGUUUAGAUUAGUUGUAGCAUAGUUAUGAUGUAAACCUAUGUUUGGGAUGUGGUUUUAGUAUUUGAAGCUUGAUUUUUAUAUUUAGCCUUAUUGGGCUAGUAUGGUAGUCUUGAAACCGUAACUUAGGUAGAGUUGACUUGAGUACCUUGUUUUUAGUUGAAGCUGCUAUCUUGGGCUUGAAUAUGGGUUACUUGACAUCUAGAAGAUGAACUAGAUACCUUAACCUAGUUUGGGGCAUAGUGUGCCUAAUUAUGGAAAUUGAGAAUUAGAAGUGGGAUCGUCUAGCCCACUUAGGCCUAAACUUGUGUUAAGUCCUGUGGACUUAGCUGCAGAUGUUAGACAUAGAUGAGGCUAGUAAACCUUCGAAUAAGGUUACAACUUGGUAACUUGAUUUGAUAUUCCUGGAUUAUGGAUUUUGAGUUAUAGUUAUGAUACUUCUUGUGGAAGUGAUAUUGGGCAUUUAGAGGUGAUAUUCCUCCUAGAUACUUUAUGUCGCCUAUAGAGAUGCUAUUUCCUCUUAGACUGAAUGAUUGGCCCAUAGAGAUGCUAUUUCCUCUUAGAUAUGCAAAUUUGGCCUAGAGAGGUGAUAUUCCUCAUAGUUAUGAUGUAUGACCUAUCGAUAUAAGAUAUCCUACAGACGAUUACAUGUCUAUCUAUAAUAUGCCUCCAAUGUAUGAGAUACCUCCUAUAUGUGAGAUAAUUAGAUAUAUGCUAUGACUUAUAAAUAUGAUUACCAAUAUGAGUUUUGGAUAUGUAUAUGGGCCUAAGGCCGUGAUUAUGAUGUUGUGACUAUUCCAGAUAAAUUAGUGGGCCAAGGGUUGUGUUAUGAUAAUGAUUGAAUAUCUGAGGAGUGUUUAUUAGUAUAAAGGAUACGAUUACAGUUUAUGAAAUAUAUAUGUUUGUAUACACAUCUCUCUGAUAUAGGACGGAGGAAGAUGAGGUAUAUUGCUCAUGACAUUAUUGAUUGGAUACUGGUGAUGGCUAGGAAUCUAAUAUAUUAGUUAAUGAAUCUUGCUUAGUUGAAACAUGGUAGCUAGCGAUGGUUAAUGCAUUACUUGUGGUGCGGUCAGGUCUAGCAUAGGUAAAGAUUAGUUGAUAUUGACGACUAAGUUGGUAUUGAUGACUAAGUUUGUGAUGUCAAUUAGUGGAUAACAGAGGAGUUGUAUACUAAUGAGGCUAGGUAAUAAGAUAUGUUGGUAAUAAGAGGUGACUAGUUAAUAACUUUUAAUAGUUGCAAAAUGAUUAACUAAUGAAUAGUUAAGCAAGGAUUAGUUGGUAUACGAUGAUUAGAUAAUGAAUAGUGUCAUUUAAUAAAAUAUGGUUAGGUGACAAGUAGUAAUGUGUUGUCUAGUAAUGAUUAAUGGAUAUAGGAUGAUUAGUGAUAAUAAUGAAUGGUGGAUAAAUGUUGUUUUUGGUUUGGUGAUGAACCUUGACUAGAUGUUAGAUGUUGGGUAUUACAUAAAUAGUCGUUAGUUACUAUCCCUUGAAUAAGGAUUAUAUGAAGGAUAAUGUUUAUGCUAAUAACUAAAGGUUAUGUGAUGACUAGUGAACUAGUGAUUUUAUGAUAAUAAGCAUUGGUUGCUAAUAACGAUAAUAACGAGUAGUUGGGAAGUAUUUACUAGAUAGAUAUUCUAUGGUGAUAUGACUAUUUUUAUGAGUAUUUUAGUGUAUGUUAUUCGGUAGUGACUAUUAUGAUAAUAUAUUGAUACCCGACAAGGCCGGAGGAUACUGUUGUGAUGAUGUUUAUACCUGACAAGUCUAGAGGAUAUAUUUAUGAUAUAUUAAUACCCGGUGAGGUCGGAGAAUUCUAUUGAUGAUGUGUUGAUAUCCGAUAAGGCCGGAGGGUGAUUACGAUGAUGAUGGCCCUGAUGAGGACAGUUAUGAUGAACUGUGAUAUUGAUUGUGUUCUUUGCAUUCACUUCUGCAUGUGCAUCGCCUAUCACCAGUAUGCACUUAUAUUUAUCAACCGGUAUAUGACAGUUGCAUAUAUAUGGUGAAGAAUAUGCCUUGUGUUGUUGUAUGCUGAUUGAACCUUCCGAGUCUGGGGUAGUGGGGGCACACAUAGGCUCGGCUAGGUAUUUGGUUAUCCGUAAGUUGAGGACUAAGGAGAUUGCGUCUGUGAAAGUCCAGUGUAAGAAUCUUCCUAUUGAGGAGGCCACUUGGGAGAUCGAAGCACACAUGCGUAACAAGUAUCCACAUAUUUUGAUGAUUCAGUUAAUUUUUUGUUUCCUCUUCUUAUCUCUUGUUUGCCCGUUUGUGGAUGAACAGUUGUUUAAUUGAUAUCUGAUGUAACGGCCCUCCUAGUCAUUUCGUAAAUUUUACUAAACUUUUUAUUUUAGCUCUUCUCUAGUUUGUAUAUGUGAUUUAUGAGUUACGAAGAUGAAUAGUACCGAUUCUUGAGGUGUUCUGGGUGAGUUAAGUCCUUAGUUGGGUUAUUGAGCUAAAGGAAGUUAAAUUUAAUUGUUCUCAAUUUUCGAUCAAGAUGACCCUAGAUUAGUAUUUUAAUGAUUUCAAUAGAUUUGGAAUGUAUUUUUUUAGUCAAUUUACAUAUUUAAUUUAUUUUUAUAGGAUUCCGAACAAAUUAUGAGAAUUUAUUAGAAGUGUUGGGUAUUUUAAUAAUUAAAUUAAAGGUUGGUUAACGAAAAUAUUUUUUUAUUAAAAUUAGUAGUGGGUCAUAACCACUACUCCCUUAUUUUUUUCUGUCAUAUGUGAAAUCAGAGUAAUAGAUUAUCAGAUGAGGUAUUUAACGUUCAAUUUAUUAGAACAAGCGAGAAAAGAAAAGGAAAAAGGAGAAACUGCUGCUGCUGCAUAACACAAAAUCUCAGGUUCUUUUAUUUUAAUGUGUAGAUGAGUGUGAUAUGUAUAAUUUUAGUGGAAAGAAAAUUUGAUUAAUGGAAAAAGUAGGCCGCUGCUGGCAAGAAAUCAAGUGGCAUAGGCCACUGUAGUUGAUUUCACACUUUUUCAAUGAAAUGAAUGGCCACUAUUGGCUGAUUUCUUAAUUUCCCAUGAAUUUCAAAAGUGGCACAGGCCACUAUUGGUUGCCUUCUUAAUUCUCCACGAAUUUCAAAGUUGCGCUGGCCAUUGUUUUGUUGUUAGUUUCGAAACCGGAGGUUAUCGUAUGAAGUUAAUUAUUGUUUUUGGAUAUAUUAAGGUUUAGUCCUAGGAUUUAUAGAAUAAGAAUUUAUAAAUGGGUGUUAUUAAAUUUUUAUUCUUAAGAGGAUUAUAUGUUUGAACAGAUUUUGAAUGUUCCGAAAAUUUGAGAAAUGACAAGGCACUUGUGGACUACUGAUAUUUGAGUUCUUCAUUUGAGGUAAAUUAUGGUUUAAUUAGAGUUUAGACUCAAUUUAACUAUGUGUAGGCUCCUAAAUUGGAUACUUAUGGAUUGGUAUUUGUACAUGUUUGAAAUUAUUGAUGUUUGGAUUAUUGAUUCGUGUAUAAAUGUUUAUUGAAAAUUGACUUGAUGAAAUUGUCUCAUGACUUUAAGUGUACGUGUAAUCUUGGUACAUUGUGUUGUAUGCUGUGAGGUUGUGUAAAUUGAUAUUGAUAGUACUUGUUUAUGUUUAUGUUGGAUCGGGUCCCACGCCGGUACGUUUACAUUUAUGUUGGAUCGGGUACCACGCCAGUACGUUUACACUUAUGUUGGAUCGGGUACCACGCCGGUACAUUUAUAUUUAUGUUAGAUCGGGUACUAUGCCAGUACAGAUAUGUAUAUGUUGGAUCGGGUACCACGCCUGUACGUUUACAUUUAUGUUGGAUCGGGUACCACGCCUGUACGUUUACAUUUAUGUUGGAUCGGGUACCACGCUGGUACGUUUACAUUUAUGCUGGGUCGGGUACCACGCCGGUAUGUUUAUAUUUAUGUUGGAUCGGGUACCACGCCGGUAUGUUUAUACUUAUGUUGGAUCGAGUACCACGCUGGUGAGGAUAUGUAUAUAUUGUAUCGGGUACCACGUCAGUACGACACGUGAACAUAGAUUGUUCCCUGCAGGUCAUGACUAUGUGGGCAAAAAUAAGUCCUAUAGCAUGUGUGUACAUAUUUGUGUUGAUUCUGUAAAUGUUUAUAGUAUGGUUGAUACUCUUGAUGGUUAUGUGGCUUGUUUGUGAGCACUGUUUGAUAUGUUGUUGUUGUAUUUUUGAUUCAUUGAAUAUUUGUUCUGUGACGAUGUCUGUCUACUUGUUAUUUGAUUUAUGUUGUGUACAUGCUAUUAAAUUGAGUUGACCUAUGAUGCUUACCAGUUCAUAGUGGUUUGUACUGAUACUACCCUAUACUCUUCUUUUAUUGAGUGCAGAAAGUGUUAUAGGCUCAGACAUGACCUCACCUCUAGAGUUUAAUAGCAGAUCUUGAUCCAAGGGUGAGCACUCCGUUUCCAGGCUGCCAUGGGCCAUCUUUUUUGCUCUUGUCCAUCUUUCGGACAAUGAAACAUUCUUUAUUUACUUUAUUUUUGGAUAUCACUUUAGAUAUGAUCUUUGUUAGUAGUUCUUGUACGGUGACUUUCGGGUCUUGGGAAUUUUAGUAAGUAUUUUAUUUGACUUCCGCAUUAAUAACGAUUAAUCCUGAAUUAUUAUUAUGUUAAUUUUAUGAUAUCA